Molecule: ribosomal RNA, 504 nt
Filed under: uncultured bacterium
Lineage: Bacteria
Description: partial 16S ribosomal RNA
Rfam family: Bacterial small subunit ribosomal RNA
Source: RNAcentral
AUUGGACGCUGGCGGCAGGCCUAACACAUGCAAGUCGAGCGGUAACACAGGGAGCUUGCUCCCGGGUGACGAGCGGCGGACGGGUGAGUAAUGUCUGGGAAACUGCCUGAUGGAGGGGGAUAACUACUGGAAACGGUAGCUAAUACCGCAUAAUGUCGCAAGACCAAAGAGGGGGACCUUCGGGCCUCUUGCCAUCAGAUGUGCCCAGAUGGGAUUAGCUAGUAGGUGGGGUAACGGCUCACCUAGGCGACGAUCCCUAGCUGGGCUGAGAGGAUGACCAGCAACAAGGGAGCUGAGACACGGUCCAGACUCCUACGGGAGGCAGCAGUGGGGAAUAUUGCACAAUGGGCGCAAGCCUGAUGCAGCCAUGCCGCGUGUAUGAAGAAGGCCUUCGGGUUGUAAAGUACUUUCAGCGGGGAGGAAGGCGAUAAGGCUAAUAACCUUGUCGAUUGACGUUACCCGCAGAAGAAGCACCGGCUAACUCCGUGCCAGCAGCCGCCGCCG